CCUAAAAUUACUUUGACCAAAAUCUAUUUAGAGCUCACACUGUUGUCGGUAGAGCUACCAUUGCCAGAAAUCCCAAAGUCUUACUACAAAUCCCAUUUCCAAAACCAUGUGGAGGCAGGCAGGAAGGCAGCACAUGAACUUGUGAAGUCUUUUGAGGUGACAGGUGCUUGUGAAAAAGCCACAUUGCAGAGCUUUCAUUCCACGAUCUCGAAUGAAGAAGCAUCAUGACAGGCACCAAGUGUGAUUUUGUGAAGACUGAACACAUGUAUUGUAUCGACAGCUGCAGAGGCUCCGUGGUUGCUUCGAGUCCCAGCUGCCAUGGAAAGGACGUCAACAUGAACUCACGAGUUGCAGUGCUUUCUCUCCACAAUCUCGAACGAAGCAAGCAUCAUGACUCAGGUAGACUUGGCUAAUAAACAGAGGCAAAAAGAUGCAUAUUAGCAGCUGCAGAAGCUCUUUGGAUGCUUCAAAUCUCAGCCGCCAUGGAAAGGACUUCAACCUGAAGUAAGAAGUUGCAACAGUGCUUUCGCUCCAAAAUCUUGAAUGAAACAUGAUGAUUCAGCUGCAGAAGCUCCUCGGAUGCUUCGUCUCUCCAGCUACCAUGGAAAGACUUCGACCUGAACCAAGAAGUUGCGGUGCUUUCACUCAGGUAAGCUUGGCUUAAAGAAACAAGCAAGGUACAAAGCUGUAAUAUUUUG
Molecule: non-coding RNA, 698 nt
Organism: Musa acuminata subsp. malaccensis (wild Malaysian banana)
Lineage: Eukaryota; Viridiplantae; Streptophyta; Magnoliopsida; Zingiberales; Musaceae
Source: RefSeq, a predicted model, not a curated record